CCUCAAUCGCUCCAUAGACGAAUUAAGUCCGCUUAUGUAGUCAAGCAACAUUUCAUAUCUGGAUUUUGAGCGAAACUUCUAGAAAAAUUUUUCUAUAGAUAGAAAGAAUUCAGGCAAUUUUUUCAUCCAGAUUUAGUAUUUGACUGAUAUUUGGAAAUAAUCCUGAAAAAAUUUCGAAUCUUUGUCGGCUUAACUAAAGUCUGGAAUAUAAGGCUAAAUUUUUGAGUUUAGGCCAAGAUCAAAGUCACGAUUAAUUAACUUAUAUCUGCUUCAAUGGUACCCUCUAUCCAUCUGUUGAAACUUGCCGGUGAUAACAUACACAAUUUUCUUCUGGCUACCGGAUCUAAAUCUAAUGGGGCACCUUUUCAUCUGCACAAUAAUAGAUAAAUUUAUGUUUAUUGUAUAAUUUCAAUUCGAACUAUAGAUACUAUAUGAACAAAUGA
Long non-coding RNA from Hermetia illucens (black soldier fly), 443 nucleotides. RefSeq lists it as uncharacterized. Lineage: Eukaryota; Metazoa; Arthropoda; Insecta; Diptera; Stratiomyidae. The transcript has 3 exons. The record is from RefSeq and is a predicted model, not a curated record.